This 75-nucleotide transfer RNA is filed under the name Candidatus Methanomethylophilus alvi Mx1201. RNAcentral's name for it is "tRNA-Ile (GAT) (tRNA-Ile-GAT-1-1)". It matches the Rfam family "tRNA". Rfam says of the family: Transfer RNA (tRNA) molecules are approximately 80 nucleotides in length. Their secondary structure includes four short double-helical elements and three loops (D, anti-codon, and T loops). Further hydrogen bonds mediate the characteristic L-shaped molecular structure. tRNAs have two regions of fundamental functional importance: the anti-codon, which is responsible for specific mRNA codon recognition, and the 3' end, to which the tRNAs corresponding amino acid is attached (by aminoacyl-tRNA synthetases). tRNAs cope with the degeneracy of the genetic code in two manners: having more than one tRNA (with a specific anti-codon) for a particular amino acid; and 'wobble' base-pairing, i.e. permitting non-standard base-pairing at the 3rd anti-codon position. Lineage: Archaea; Methanobacteriati; Thermoplasmatota; Thermoplasmata; Methanomassiliicoccales; Methanomethylophilaceae. The record is from Rfam by way of RNAcentral. RNAcentral also lists the same sequence under 2 other names.
GGGCCCAUAGCUUAGAUUGGCUGGAGCGUCCGACUGAUAAUCGGAAGGUCGAGAGUUCAAAUCUCUCUGGGCCCA